RNAcentral lists this unclassified non-coding RNA (626 nucleotides) under Penicillium commune. Its description in RNAcentral is "sequence contains ITS1, 5.8S rRNA gene and ITS2". The stretch from base 180 to 332 matches the Rfam family "5.8S ribosomal RNA". The record is from RNAcentral. Lineage: Eukaryota; Fungi; Ascomycota; Eurotiomycetes; Eurotiales; Aspergillaceae.
GCCGUUGGCCUCCCUACCUGAUCCGAGGUCACCUGGGAUAAAAAUUUAGGGUUGAUCGGCAAGCGCCGGCCGGGCCUACAGAGCGGGUGACAAAGCCCCAUACGCUCGAGGACCGGACGCGGUGCCGCCGCUGCCUUUCGGGCCCGUCCCCCGGACCGCGGGGGACGGGAGCCCCCAAAAACACACAGCAAGAGAGCGCCUGGUUCCGGCAUCCAGGAAGAACGCGCCCAAAGGCGACACGGAGUGUGAAUUGCAAAUUCAGGGAAUCAUCAAGUCUUUGAACGCACAUUGCGCCCCCUGGUUUUCCGGGGGGCAUUGCUGUCCCAACGUCAUUGCCGCCUCAAACCCCGUAUAGUGUUUGGAUUAUUGUUUAACAAACUACUAUCAAUCCCAAUUUCAGGGGUGGCUCUAAUUGUUGGGUUCCCGAGGACGUAACCAUUCCGACCCGCUCUGUAGGCGAGUCCACGCUUGGCAUUUAUCCCUAUUUUUAUCCGGGUGGACCCCGAAUCAUGUAAAGAUAACCGCUGAAAUUAUGGGUUUCAAUUGCGGAAGGAAGCUCUCUGGGUCCCACCUCCCCCGUGUUUUUUUUCCUUGUUGCUUCUCUGGCCGCCUUUUCUGGUCUCGGG